RNAcentral lists this long non-coding RNA (273 nucleotides) under Trifolium pratense (red clover). RNAcentral's name for it is "long non-coding RNA (TPRA_LNC004464)". Lineage: Eukaryota; Viridiplantae; Streptophyta; Magnoliopsida; Fabales; Fabaceae. The record is from RNAcentral.
GUUGGGAUUGAACCAAGUGUAACCACAUCAUUUAAUCAAUAAUACAAACCCCUUUGAGUUUUUACCAGAACAACUAAGAACCAUUGUUCAUUAAAAAUCCUAACUCAAGUAGAUAAAUUAUAUGAUAUGUGACAUUAUAAAUAAAUAAAUAGGGGUAAUAUAGUAAUUUAUAUAAACGGGCGGGUUCGGGGACGGGUUCGGGGUGGGUACCAAUAUCUCCGUUAUCCGCCCCAUCCCCAUGUUUUGAAAUCGGGCAAAACCCAAACCCGAACN